Molecule: ribosomal RNA, 305 nt
Filed under: uncultured bacterium
Lineage: Bacteria
Description: bacterial SSU rRNA
Rfam family: Bacterial small subunit ribosomal RNA
Source: RNAcentral
GUACACCUACGGGAGGCAGCAGUGGGGAAUAUUGCACAAUGGGGGAAACCCUGAUGCAGCGACGCCGCGUGAGUGAGGAAGUAUUUCGGUAUGUAAAGCUCUAUCAGCAGGGAAGAAAAAAUGACGGUACCUGACUAAGAAGCCCCGGCUAACUACGUGCCAGCAGCCGCGGUAAUACGUAGGGGGCAAGCGUUAUCCGGAUUUACUGGGUGUAAAGGGAGCGUAGGUGGCAGGGCAAGUCAGAUGUGAAAACCCGGGGCUCAACUCCGGGAGUGCAUUUGAAACUGUCCAGCUAGAGUGCAGGG